GAUGAACGCUGGCGGCGUGCCUAAUACAUGCAAGUCGAGCGAACGGACGAGAAGCUUGCUUUUCUGAUGUUAGCGGCGGACGGGUGAGUAACACGUGGAUAACCUACCUAUAAGACUGGGAUAACUUCGGGAAACCGGAGCUAAUACCGGAUAAUAUUUUGAACCGCAUGGUUCAAAAGUGAAAGACGGUCUUGCUGUCACUUAUAGAUGGAUCCGCGCUGCAUUAGCUAGUUGGUAAGGUAACGGCUUACCAAGGCAACGAUGCAUAGCCGACCUGAGAGGGUGAUCGGCCACACUGGAACUGAGACACGGUCCAGACUCCUACGGGAGGCAGCAGUAGGGAAUCUUCCGCAAAGGGCGAAAGCCUGACGGAGCAACGCCGCGUGAGUGAUGAAGGUCUUCGGAUCGUAGAACUCUGUUAUUAGGGAAGAACAUAUGUGUAAGUAACUGUGCACAUCUUGACGGUACCUAAUCAGAAAGCCACGGCUAACUACGUG
RNAcentral lists this ribosomal RNA (497 nucleotides) under uncultured bacterium. Its description in RNAcentral is "partial 16S ribosomal RNA". It matches the Rfam family "Bacterial small subunit ribosomal RNA", at positions 28 to 507 of the family's 1533-position model. The record is from RNAcentral.